This 731-nucleotide long non-coding RNA is filed under the name Equus caballus (horse). Its description in RNAcentral is "lncRNA (ENSECAG00000053327.1)". The record is from RNAcentral. Lineage: Eukaryota; Metazoa; Chordata; Mammalia; Perissodactyla; Equidae.
UGUAAACUGAAUAAACGGUUGCUGUUUCAAGCUACUAAGUUCUGGAGAAGUUUGUCACCCAGCAGAAAUUAACUUAUACAAUACUUAACAGCCAAAUUCUCCCCUGUAGGUAUUUUACCACUUUGUAAUCCCAACAGCAACAAAUGAGAGCAUCUUUUCCUCUCUGCUGUUAGAGUAUGUCGUUGAAAUUUUGGAUUUUCCCAUCUAAAAGGUUUGUUUACAGAGCCCUUGGGCACAUCGAAUGAAGGAAGGGAGAUCAGUUAAAUCCUGAUUUCAGGCUCCGCUGACAGCUGUCCUGGCCCUGUGACGGGAGAACUCACCCAUGGAGCCAGGAGAAUGCACUUGCACAUCUCCCACCACAGGAACGUGACUGACAGAGGGCCUCAGGCCCCGCACUUUGAAGUUCACUGCUGGGCUUGUGCCAGGGCUGUUCCCAUCAGUAACUGAGCUCCUCGGAGACAGAACUCCUCUGCUCAUCGACUUUAGCUCAGGACUCCCAGCCUUCCUCACACUGCACAGAUGUCUGGGACCCUUCUCUCUCCCUUUCCCUCCUCUCUCUCUGUCCUUCACUGCAUUGAGGUCUGACGGCUCUCCAGACACUCCCAGCUUUCUCCCUAUUUCCAUUCACAGAGUCACCUCUCCUAAUAAGACCCUUGCACAUUUAGUCACCCCUCAGUGUCAGCUCCUAAGAAAAUCUUGGCUCUGUCUUUCUCUAUUCAGACAGAGCCAAG